RNAcentral lists this non-coding RNA (30 nucleotides) under Rattus norvegicus (Norway rat). Lineage: Eukaryota; Metazoa; Chordata; Mammalia; Rodentia; Muridae. The record is from RNAcentral.
UGGGUCCCGCCAUAGUGCCAUGGCAAGCGA